This 321-nucleotide ribosomal RNA is filed under the name Triticum aestivum (bread wheat). RNAcentral's name for it is "partial small subunit ribosomal RNA". Lineage: Eukaryota; Viridiplantae; Streptophyta; Magnoliopsida; Poales; Poaceae. The record is from RNAcentral.
AUGUAUGAGGAUGUCGGUGUCUCAUCAAACAUGUAUUGUGUGAGGACACCCUUCGUCCGACCUAAUCUUGACGAUCAUCCGCAGGAAUCUAGAGCAGCACUUCAAAACUCCCAGGUUGUUUUCAUCAGCAAGCUUAUAGAUGACCACAUGGUGGAACUCAAUAAUACAACGCUGUACGAUGCACCUGAGAUUCCAAUGGAUACCUGUCGAAGCGAUGUGGUCAUCAGCAUGUAUGCUCUCAAGCUCCUGGUAGAGCAUUUUCCCUUAAACGAUGCUAUUGUCACGUCAUGCAUAUCAUGGUUCUGUUGGUUGGUAAUUUGA